This 253-nucleotide ribosomal RNA is filed under the name uncultured bacterium. RNAcentral describes it as "partial 16S ribosomal RNA". It matches the Rfam family "Bacterial small subunit ribosomal RNA", at positions 524 to 776 of the family's 1533-position model. The record is from RNAcentral.
UACGUAGGUGGCAAGCGUUGUCCGGAUUUAUUGGGUUUAAAGGGUGCGUAGGUGGUCUAUUAAGUCAGUGCUGAAAUAUCCCGGCUUAACCGGGAGGGUGGCAUUGAUACUGAUGGACUUGAGUGGAGUCGAGGUAGGCGGAGUUGACGGUGUAGCGGUGAAAUGCUUAGAUAUCGUCAAGAACACCGAUAGUGCAGACAGCUUACUAGGCUCUAACUGACACUGAGGCACGAAAGUGUGGGGAUCAAACAGG